AGAGUUUGAUCCUGGCUCAGGAUGAACGCUGGCGGCGUGCCUAAUACAUGCAAGUCGAACGAGGCGCUUUUUGUAGCAAUACGAGGAGCGUCCUAGUGGCGAACGGGUGAGUAACGCGUGGGUGACCUGCCCCAAAGUGUGGGAUAACAGUCCGAAAGGAUUGCUAAUACCGCAUGUGGUCGCUGAGUUUAGAAGUUAGCGACUAAAGCAGCAAUGCGCUUUGGGAGGGACCUGCGUCCCAUCAGCUAGUUGGUAAGGUAACGGCUUACCAAGGCGACGACGGGUAGGGGACCUGAGAGGGUGGCCCCCCACAAUGGAACUGAAACACGGUCCAUACACCUACGGGUGGCAGCAGUAGGGAAUAUUGCACAAUGGGCGAAAGCCUGAUGCAGCAACGCCGCGUGCGCGAAGAAGGUCUUCGGAUCGUAAAGCGCUUUUCUGGGAGAUGAGAAAGGACAGUAUCCCAGGAAUAAGUCUCGGCUAACUACGUGCCAGCAGCC
Molecule: ribosomal RNA, 500 nt
Filed under: uncultured bacterium
Lineage: Bacteria
Description: bacterial SSU rRNA
Rfam family: Bacterial small subunit ribosomal RNA
Source: RNAcentral